ACUCAAAUGAAUUGACGGGGGCCCGCACAAGCGGUGGAGCAUGGGGUUUAAUUCGUCACUAACCGAAGAACCUUACCCAGGCUUGACAUCCCCGGACCGGCGGUGAAAGCCGUCUUUCCCCGCGAGGGGACCGGGAGACAGGUGUUGCAUGGCUGUCGUCAGCUCGUGUCGUGAGAUGUUGGGUUAAGUCCCGCAACGAGCGCAACCCUCACUGUGUGUUGCUAGCGGAAACGCGCACUCACACGGAACUGCCGGGGCAACUCGGAGGAAGGCGGGGAUGACGUCAAGUCGGCAUGGCCCUUACGCCUGGGGCUACACCCAUGCUACAAUGGGCCGGACAGAGGGCUGCAAACCCGCAAGGGGGAGCCAAUCCCAAAAACCGGCUCUCAGUUGGAAUAGGGGUCUGCAACUCGACCCCUUGAACUCGGAAUCGCUAGUAAACGCCGGUCAGCCAAACGGCGUUGAAUCCGUUCCCGGGCCUUGUACACACCGCCCGU
RNAcentral lists this ribosomal RNA (497 nucleotides) under uncultured bacterium. Its description in RNAcentral is "partial 16S ribosomal RNA". It matches the Rfam family "Bacterial small subunit ribosomal RNA", at positions 899 to 1397 of the family's 1533-position model. The record is from RNAcentral.